UUUUGUUCGCUAGUUUGCGUC
Molecule: microRNA, 21 nt
Filed under: Panagrellus redivivus
Lineage: Eukaryota; Metazoa; Nematoda; Chromadorea; Rhabditida; Panagrolaimidae
Description: prd-miR-7879-3p
Source: miRBase by way of RNAcentral